This 506-nucleotide ribosomal RNA is filed under the name uncultured bacterium. RNAcentral's name for it is "partial 16S ribosomal RNA". It matches the Rfam family "Bacterial small subunit ribosomal RNA", at positions 29 to 523 of the family's 1533-position model. The record is from RNAcentral.
AGUGAACGCUGGCGGUAGGCCUAACACAUGCAAGUCGAACGGCAGCACAGGAGAGCUUGCUCUCUGGGUGGCGAGUGGCGGACGGGUGAGGAAUACAUCGGAAUCUACUCUGUCGUGGGGGAUAACGUAGGGAAACUUACGCUAAUACCGCAUACGACCUACGGGUGAAAGCAGGGGAUCUUCGGACCUUGCGCGAUUGAAUGAGCCGAUGUCGGAUUAGCUAGUUGGCGGGGUAAAGGCCCACCAAGGCGACGAUCCGUAGCUGGUCUGAGAGGAUGUUCAGCCACACUGGAACUGAGACACGUUCGAGACUCCUACGGGAGGCAGCAGUGGGGAGUAUUGGACCAUGGGCGCAAGCCUGGUCCAGCCAGACCGCGUGGGUGAAGAAGGCCUUCGGGUUGUAAAGCCCGUUUGUUGGGAAAGAAAUCCAGCUGGCUAAUACCCGGUUGGGAUGACGGUACCCAAAGAAUAAGCACCGGCUAACUUCGUGCCAGCCGCCGCCGUAA